RNAcentral lists this transfer RNA (84 nucleotides) under bacterium. Its description in RNAcentral is "tRNA-Leu". It matches the Rfam family "tRNA". Rfam says of the family: Transfer RNA (tRNA) molecules are approximately 80 nucleotides in length. The record is from RNAcentral. RNAcentral also lists the same sequence under 4 other names.
GCCGGUGUGGCGGAAUUGGCAGACGCGAUGGAUUCAAAAUCCAUUGGGGGCAACCCCGUGGAGGUUCAAGUCCUCUCACCGGUA